ACCCCACUCCUGGUGCCAGUGAGGCUGUCAGUGCCCAAUCUUGGUCCACAGAUACAGGGCAGAGCCUUUCGUGACCUGUAGACCAGAGCUUCUCAGGUCUGACGGGUACUCGUCUGAAUCUUUUGGGAGAUA
Phyllostomus discolor (pale spear-nosed bat) is the source of this 132-nucleotide long non-coding RNA. RefSeq lists it as uncharacterized. The record is from RefSeq and is a predicted model, not a curated record. Lineage: Eukaryota; Metazoa; Chordata; Mammalia; Chiroptera; Phyllostomidae. The transcript has 3 exons.